GCCCCCCUAGCUCAACCUGGGAGAGCACCCGAUUUGUAAUCGGGAGGUUUCCGGUUCGAACCCGGAGGGGGGCU
Molecule: transfer RNA, 74 nt
Filed under: Solirubrobacterales bacterium
Lineage: Bacteria; Bacillati; Actinomycetota; Thermoleophilia; Solirubrobacterales
Also listed under: 2 other names
Description: tRNA-Thr
Rfam family: tRNA
About the family: Transfer RNA (tRNA) molecules are approximately 80 nucleotides in length. Their secondary structure includes four short double-helical elements and three loops (D, anti-codon, and T loops).
Source: RNAcentral